CUUGAUGGCACCCUGAUCUCAACUUCCAGCCUCCAGAACCGUGGGACAUAAAUUUGUUGUUUAGAAGCCCCGCCAGUCUAUGGUAAAGUGAGACAGGCAGAAACAAGUUUACAGUCAUUUGGAGACAGAUCCACGUUGCUGGCCCACCUCGUGAGACUAGAGGAUUCUUCAGGCCUUUGCCAGGACACAAUUGGAAACACUGGUUAUUUUACCAAGGCUUUGACUGGAGUGGCAUAUGACCAGACUGCUUUGAGGAACUGAAGUGAAUUAAUAGAACUGAUAAAAAACCCCUUCAAAAUACUGGCCUCUUACCUUGCCUAAGCAAUUUCUUUACAAAAUUUCUGACCUGUGGUAAGUAAAGAAUGUCACUUUCUUGACCGGCCCAGGAACCUCAAGUUAUUUUGGGAACUCAAGAAGAGAAGAAUUUACCCAAUUUAUACGGGUAUCUGCAGGCACAAAUAAAUUAUCAGCUUGGCUGAC
RNAcentral lists this long non-coding RNA (480 nucleotides) under Homo sapiens (human). RNAcentral describes it as "HSALNT0403208". Lineage: Eukaryota; Metazoa; Chordata; Mammalia; Primates; Hominidae. The record is from RNAcentral.